AUUGAACGCUGGCGGCAUGCUUUACACAUGCAAGUCGAACGGCAGCGGGGUAGUGCUUGCACUACUGUCCGGCGAGUGGCGAACGGGUGAGUAAUAUAUCGGAACGUACCGAGUAAUGGGGGAUAACCAAUCGAAAGAUUGGCUAAUACCGCAUACGUCCUGAGGGAGAAAGCGGGGGAUCGCAAGACCUCGCGUUAUUCGGGCGGCCGAUAACUGAUUAGCUAGUUGGUGGGGUAAAGGCCUACCAAGGCGACGAUCAGUAGCGGGUCUGAGAGGACGAUCCGCCACACUGGGACUGAGACACGGCCCAGACUCCUACGGGAGGCAGCAGUGGGGAAUUUUGGACAAUGGGGGCAACCCUGAUCCAGCCAUGCCGCGUGUAUGAAGAAGGCCUUCGGGUUGUAAAGUACUUUUGUUAGGGAAGAAAAGGGAAGUGCUAAUACCACUUUUUGCUGACGGUACCUAAAGAAUAAGCACCGGCUAACUACGUGCCAGCAGCCGCGGUAAUACGUAGGGUGCGAGCGUUAAUCGGAAUUACUGGGCGUAAAGCGAGCGCAGACGGUUAUUUAAGCAGGAUGUGAAAUCCCCGGGCUUAACCUGGGAACUGCGUUCUGAACUGGAUAGCUAGAAUGUGUCAGAGGGGGGUAGAAUUCCACGUGUAGCAGUGAAAUGCGUAGAGAUGUGGAGGAAUACCGAUGGCGAAGGCAGCCCCCUGGGAUAACACUGACGUUCAUGCUCGAAAGCGUGGGUAGCAAACAGG
Molecule: ribosomal RNA, 760 nt
Filed under: uncultured Eikenella sp.
Lineage: Bacteria; Pseudomonadati; Pseudomonadota; Betaproteobacteria; Neisseriales; Neisseriaceae
Description: bacterial SSU rRNA
Rfam family: Bacterial small subunit ribosomal RNA
Source: RNAcentral